RNAcentral lists this long non-coding RNA (403 nucleotides) under Trifolium pratense (red clover). Its description in RNAcentral is "long non-coding RNA (TPRA_LNC005118)". The record is from RNAcentral. Lineage: Eukaryota; Viridiplantae; Streptophyta; Magnoliopsida; Fabales; Fabaceae.
AAGUCAAUAUGAGAUAGUUUGUUCGAAUCGGAUACCUAAUCAUGUCAGAUUAUAAGUCAGAGUUAUAGGCAGAUAUGAUCGAAACAGGAGCAUUCAAAUUAGAAGCCAGAAUGUGAGACAUACUAUUGAACUAGAUUUUUAAUAAAGUCAAUAUGAGAGAGUUUGUUCGAAUCAGAUACCUAAUCAUGUUAGAUUAUAAGUCAGAGUUAUAGACAGAUAUGAUCGAAACAGGAGCAUUCAAAUUAGAAGCCAGAAUGUGAGACAUACUAUUGAACUAGAUUUUUAAUAAAGUCAAUAUGAGAGAGUUUGUUCGAAUCAGAUACCUAAUCAUGUCAGAUUAUAAGUCAGAGUUAUAGACAGAUAUUUUUGAAACAAGAGCAUUCAAAUUAGAAGUCAGAAUGUG